UAAGAGAAGAGCAAACAUUCCUGGCGGGCCAUGCUGUAGCGCCAUAUUGUCUGUCAAGAUGUUGCAGUUUCAGCACCAUGGAUACUAGGCGCGAGUGUAAGUGGAAAGGUCUUCUCUCAAGCGAAACAAAGGAGGCUUUGACACGAUGCAACUCGACUUUUUACAGCAUAAAACUCAGUCCUCGCCAACGACGUAGUCACAGAACAAUGAGGAAAGUCUCAGUGAUGCUUGGAGACUGGCACCACGAGCACGAUAUGCCAAGUAAACUAGAGGGAUCAGGAUGAAGUCGAUGUUAUACCAAGUCCAUUCUGUAAGACCCGGCGAAAGGCAGGCAAGGGGUUGGUACCGACGAGUCAGAUUCGGGAAUCUGCGCCGCCUGCUGUCAUCAAAGACAGCUUUCGCACCGCCUGAAGUUCGGUGCCUCACUGCCUGCAGCUCCCUAACGGCUUGCUUCGGCAUCAAAUAACCACUGGGCGUAAAGCUUGGAUUUGUCACAGAUUGCACGCGCACAGAUGGAAGACGUGAUACGGCUGUCGACCUGAAUAGCAACUCUCCGGACAUUACGCACGUAGUCACAAUCUUUGCUGGCUUAUAGUGCCUGCGAUAAAACAUCGUGCUGCUGAUGCGUUGUUUUUCAAGCGGUAACUUGCACCAAAAACAAGUAAAAUGAAAGACAUGGUUGUAUCUCUGUGUGUGUGUCGAGGAGGAAGAGGCUAAACUUUCCGAAACUUUCUAACAGCAGAGCGCUAAGUAAAUACUCUAUUUAUCACCGAGACUGAAUCAUCCUUUAAAGCCUGACGUCUAGUCUGUCGGUCACAUCACAGGAGUCAGAGAGUUUACAUAAUAAUCUCUAUAACGAGGGCUUAACAGUU
Long non-coding RNA from Pomacea canaliculata, 872 nucleotides. RefSeq lists it as uncharacterized. The transcript has 3 exons. NCBI's taxonomy places the organism in Eukaryota, Metazoa, Mollusca, Gastropoda, Architaenioglossa, Ampullariidae. The record is from RefSeq and is a predicted model, not a curated record.